Molecule: ribosomal RNA, 253 nt
Filed under: uncultured bacterium
Lineage: Bacteria
Description: partial 16S ribosomal RNA
Rfam family: Bacterial small subunit ribosomal RNA
Source: RNAcentral
UACGUAGGGGGCAAGCGUUGUCCGGAAUUAUUGGGCGUAAAGAGCGUGUAGGCGGUCCGGUAAGUCAGCUGUGAAAGUCAAGGGCUCAACCCUUGAAAGCCGGUUGAUACUGUCGGGCUAGAGUCCGGAAGAGGCGAGUGGAAUUCCCGGUGUAGCGGUGAAAUGCGCAGAUAUCGGGAGGAACACCAAUGGCGAAGGCAGCUCGCUGGGACGUGACUGACGCUGAGACGCGAAAGCGUGGGGAGCAAACAGG